Long non-coding RNA from Bos taurus (domestic cattle), 903 nucleotides. The record is from Ensembl. NCBI's taxonomy places the organism in Eukaryota, Metazoa, Chordata, Mammalia, Artiodactyla, Bovidae.
GGAAAUCAGCCUUGGAAAAUGGGAAGCAACGGUCCUGUAAAUUCAGCAGGGAGACCUUCCUUCCACUGCCGCAUUCCAGUAGUCUGAACCUGCCUGCCCCCAACCUUCUCAAGUGUGCUCUGCUGGCCACGGGUCUUCUCAACCCCAGCACCGGGGCUAUACACAGCAUACAGACAGAUAUCCUGGGUCUUGGAGUCAGCUGUCCAGAGGAGUCACAUUCAGCUUCAAGUUGCCCCACUGCGCCCCUCCCCUAUAUGCGAAUGAUACGGUGAUCUGCAGAACUGGCCGGCUUCAUCAUGACGUUGCACACAAGCCUGGCCCAGAGCUCGGGGAAGCUGAAGGAGGAAAUCUAGUGGAGUCUGAGUUGCACAGGUCUGGCUGGGUGGCCCAAGGAAGCAAGGUGACCAUCACGUGGAUGUCGUCAGAGGCUGGGGUAAAACUCAGAGGGUUCGAGAGGCUUCAUAGUUGGUGACUCCAGAUUAGUGCUGGCUCUGUGGGAACUGUUGUGCCAUGCUGAGGACAGAGGUGUGAUUUCAUCUUGUCUCCUCCAGGAAGCCCUCCAGCCUGUGGGUUCUGAAGGAACCGAGCCUGAUUUGGACUUUGGAAUUCUGGAACGGCAAGAGGAAGAGGUGGACUCGGCCUUGCGUGUUUCAGCGUCUCUUCUGGUAUUGCAUCUCCUCCACGGCUGGGGCACAGAGGGAACAACUCACUGUCAAUAAUUUGGGAGCCACCCUAGUUCUACUUGCUCUUUAAACGUUAGAGUUUUAAUGAUUUAGGAACCAAAAGAAUAACUAAGGAGCCCAGCAGUCAUUAUCUCAAAUAAUGAGACUUUUUAAUGCAAAAUCAAUGUUUGUUAUAAUGAAAAUAGAUUCCUCAGCUCCUGCGGGGCCAAAUGUACAAAUC